RNAcentral lists this transfer RNA (64 nucleotides) under Neilupotamon papilionaceum. RNAcentral describes it as "tRNA-Trp". Lineage: Eukaryota; Metazoa; Arthropoda; Malacostraca; Decapoda; Potamidae. The record is from RNAcentral.
AUGAUUUUAAGUUAAAUUAAACUAGAAGCCUUCAAAGCUUAAAAUAAAAAUAUUUUAAAUCUUA